GGGGAGGUAGCAUAAUUGGCUAAUGCUCCCGGCUGUGACCCAGGAUGAUGUCGGUUCGAGCCCGGCCCAUCCCU
RNAcentral lists this transfer RNA (74 nucleotides) under Dehalococcoidia bacterium. Its description in RNAcentral is "tRNA-His". It matches the Rfam family "tRNA". From Rfam's summary of the family: Transfer RNA (tRNA) molecules are approximately 80 nucleotides in length. Their secondary structure includes four short double-helical elements and three loops (D, anti-codon, and T loops). Lineage: Bacteria; Bacillati; Chloroflexota; Dehalococcoidia. The record is from RNAcentral.